UUCAAAUUCAGAGAUAAUAAAAACGAAAAAAACACAAAAACGAAAAGAAAGAAAGUGAGAAUGAUUGGGAGAGAAGAAUUCAAAUCCCAUAGCAUUCCGUUAAACGUCUUCGCAACAGAGAGAGAGCGAGAGAGAGAGAGAGAGAGAGAACUUCGAACUGCGGAAAAUCCUUUGUUAGAACUUAGAAGAAACGAAUUUCUCGAGAGAGAGGAGAAAAUCAAGAGUGAGAAAUCUUCGUCUGUAAAAGGAAACACGAGAGAUAAAGAGAGAGAGAUUCGGAAGCAGAGAACAGAAGCAAGUCUAGCAAGAAAGAGAGUGUGUAAGAUAAUUGUUGCUGUGAGAAGGUUUUAAGAGAGAGAGACAGAGAGAGAGAGACGGAA
Long non-coding RNA from Juglans microcarpa x Juglans regia, 380 nucleotides. RefSeq lists it as uncharacterized. The record is from RefSeq and is a predicted model, not a curated record. Lineage: Eukaryota; Viridiplantae; Streptophyta; Magnoliopsida; Fagales; Juglandaceae. The transcript has 3 exons.